GGGGUUGUAGCUCAGUGGUAGAGCACUUGCCUGGCAUGUGUGAAGCACAGGGUUCGAUUCUCAGCACCA
Non-coding RNA from Ictidomys tridecemlineatus (thirteen-lined ground squirrel), 69 nucleotides. The record is from Rfam. NCBI's taxonomy places the organism in Eukaryota, Metazoa, Chordata, Mammalia, Rodentia, Sciuridae.